AUGUUAGAUUUAUUUGGCUCACCACCUCUUUUGGUUAAUGGAACCAUGUUAACUUUGGAGCAUGUUAUGCAAAGACUUGAAAUUAUUGAAAAUAAAGUUGCUACUAUCGAAUUAAUUGAAAAUAUAGAUAAAAAGAUCCACAAUCAAAUUACUCAAUAUGGAUCUAAGGUAGGAAUGACUUUGAAAAAAAUUAAGGAAAAGGAACCCAUAGUUAAUGAGAAGAUAAACUUAGAUUCUACUAGAAUUGAUAAACUUGAGGGUAUCAUUACAAACUUGGGAACCGCUUUUUCUUCCGUAAAGAAUACUCCAAGUCCUCCUACUAAAAUUUCCAAGCUUAUGUAUGUUCCUAAAAAUAAGGGUGAAUCAUCUAGUAAGGAAACUGCGGAUCUUAAAUCUAUAAGUAUUCAUCCCAAUCUUUUUGCUAUCAUUAAGGAACCAAUUGCUUCAAAUGAAUUUUUCGAUCUUGUGCCUAAAAGUUUAAUAAUCCCUAGAAAGAAAUAA
RNAcentral lists this ribosomal RNA (501 nucleotides) under Triticum aestivum (bread wheat). Its description in RNAcentral is "partial small subunit ribosomal RNA". Lineage: Eukaryota; Viridiplantae; Streptophyta; Magnoliopsida; Poales; Poaceae. The record is from RNAcentral.